This is a long non-coding RNA of Suricata suricatta (meerkat), 698 nucleotides long. RefSeq lists it as uncharacterized. Lineage: Eukaryota; Metazoa; Chordata; Mammalia; Carnivora; Herpestidae. The record is from RefSeq and is a predicted model, not a curated record. The transcript has 4 exons.
CCCUGAGCCCCUCUGCGGGCCGGGAGCCCGGCUGCCUGGGCGCGGCCGGGCAGUCGCCGGGUCCGGGGAGACACGUUGAAAAAAACGCUACGCUGGGGCCCCAGAAACCACAAGACAGGUUUUAUGAACCGCCUCCCACCUUCCCCGGCUCGGUCUCUUAGCUAUACUGAGAUGCACAGGGUCUCCCCACCCUCGGCCCAAGCGCAGAGGCAGUGAGAAUAAUCAUCUAGGAAGGGACAUUCCGACAUUGACUCCUAUUGCCGGAUUAAAUCCUAUAAACCUGUAUAUCACGUACUUAUCAGUAAGAUCUUUGGCAACUCUCAGCUUCUGUAAAAGAUGAAUCACUUUCAAUGGAAAAUUAGGUGGAAGUCCCUCAGUUGCACAGAUUCUCCUCUAUUUUUCCAGUCAUCUUCCCAGAAGCAGCAGCUCUUCAGUUUGGGUUAUUGCCACUUGUCUUUUUCCACCACCAAACGUCUACGGUUCAUCUAUAAUCUACUGAAUAUGUCUGCUCAGAUCUCUUCAUUUGUUUCCCUUUAUCUGCAAGGGAUAUAUUCCAAGACCCCAAAACCACAGAUAGUAUUGAACCCUACAUAUACUAUGUUUUUUUCUAUACACACAUUCCUACCUGGAAUAGUUUAAUUUGUAAAUUAGGCACAGUAAGAUAUUAACAAUAAUAAUAAAGUAGAACAAUUAUAAAA